Molecule: unclassified non-coding RNA, 294 nt
Filed under: Hevea brasiliensis (rubber tree)
Lineage: Eukaryota; Viridiplantae; Streptophyta; Magnoliopsida; Malpighiales; Euphorbiaceae
Source: RNAcentral
GGGAAGAGAAGGAAUCAAAGGCCAUGAAUGGCAGAAGAGGUGGGAAAUUGCUUUCUCCAAUGGCUUCCAGAGGACUGAUAAUGAGGUGGUGUCAGAGGCAGUGGCAACCGACAUGGUUGGAUCUACUGCGGUUGUAGUCGUUCUAUCUGGCUGCCAGAUUAUUGCAUCCAAUUGCGGUGAUUCUCGGGCGGUUCUUUGCCAAAGGAAUAAAGCGAUUCCAUUGACAGUGGAUCAAAAGCCUGAUAGACAGGAUGAACUCAUGAGAAUUGAAAGAGAGGGAGGCAAAGUCAUAAA